CAAAUCUGAUCAAAAUGCUCUAAUUUGCUGCCAUUGCUUCAUACCUGAGCUCUUUGAUCUAGAUUAGCAUUCGGGGACCCUUCGUUGAUAGGAUGCUAUGCUAAUCUUUUGUGGAAUCAAGAUAGGAAACAAAGGGAUCUGGCAAGUGUCUGCAUGCGUGUUAAGCUGCGCUAAAUAAAGAUGUCAUCCAAGGUUGUAGGGUUUGGGAGGUGUAACCCUUACCUGGAUGGGUCACAUGUCUCCAAACCUCGUAUUAUCUAAAGUCUUUUGUUGUGUCUUAUGAACACGUUUUAAACAAGUAUGGUUUGUAAUUUAUCUUAAGUGUCGACAUUUUCAAACAAUGAUGUUGUGGUAUUAUUAAACUAAAUAAAUGGAUGAACAUCUUGUGUUUUAUUUUCAUAUAGCAUGGUUAUGAUUGUUGCUAUGAUAUUAAGAAGUCACACCAAAAUAAUCCACGCUUCGCAAAAGCCAGGGUGUGACAGCAAGUUGGAUCUUGGGCGCCGGUGUAGUUUCUAGAAGUAAAUUCCAAGUUUAGAUGUCAUCCACUUUUGUUAAUUUGUAACUUAGUCGAAGGUUGUGCUGUUUAAAGCUUAAAUCAAUGGUGUUGUAAUACUUUAAAUUUAAUGAAUGGAUGAACAUCGUU
This 643-nucleotide long non-coding RNA is filed under the name Helianthus annuus (common sunflower). RNAcentral describes it as "hypothetical non coding rna". The record is from RNAcentral. Lineage: Eukaryota; Viridiplantae; Streptophyta; Magnoliopsida; Asterales; Asteraceae.